GAUGAACGCUGACAGAAUGCUUAACACAUGCAAGUCUUUGGCGAAUCUGUGCUUGCACAGGCUAGCCAAGGCGGACGGGUGAGUAACGCGUAAAGAACUUGCCCUGCAGACAGGGAUAACAGACGGAAACGACUGAUAACACCUGAUACAGUUGCCGGCACGCAUGUGCCUGGCAAUGAAAAGAGAUGCUGCAGGAGAGCUUUGCGUCCUAUUAGCUUGUUGGUGAGGUGACGGCUCACCAAGGCGAUGAUAGGUAGCCGGCCUGAGAGGGUGAACGGCCACAAGGGGACUGAGAUACGGCCCUUACUCCUACGGGAGGCAGCAGUGGGGAAUAGUGGACAAUGGGGGCAACCCUGAUCCAGCAAUUCUGUGUGCACGAAGAAGGUUUUCGGAGUGUAAAGUGCUUUCAGCAGGGAAGAAGAAAGUGACGGUACCUGCAGAAGAAGCGACGGCUAAAUACGUG
RNAcentral lists this ribosomal RNA (463 nucleotides) under uncultured bacterium. RNAcentral describes it as "partial 16S ribosomal RNA". It matches the Rfam family "Bacterial small subunit ribosomal RNA", at positions 28 to 507 of the family's 1533-position model. The record is from RNAcentral.